UACGUAGGGUGCAAGCGUUGUCCGGAAUUAUUGGGCGUAAAGAGCUCGUAGGCGGUCUGUCGCGUCUGCUGUGAAAACUCGGGGCUUAACCCCGGGCCUGCAGUGGGUACGGGCAGACUAGAGUGCGGUAGGGGAGACUGGAAUUCCUGGUGUAGCGGUGAAAUGCGCAGAUAUCAGGAGGAACACCGGUGGCGAAGGCGGGUCUCUGGGCCGUAACUGACGCUGAGGAGCGAAAGCACGGGGAGCGAACAGG
This 253-nucleotide ribosomal RNA is filed under the name uncultured bacterium. RNAcentral's name for it is "partial 16S ribosomal RNA". It matches the Rfam family "Bacterial small subunit ribosomal RNA", at positions 524 to 776 of the family's 1533-position model. The record is from RNAcentral.